UUUAACGGCAGCGGUAUCCUGACCGUGCAAAGGUAGCGCAAUCAAUUGUCCCAUAAAUCGGGACACGUAUGAAUGGCUAAACGAGGUCUUAACUGUCUCUUACAGGCAAUCGGUGAAAUUGAUCUCCCUGUGCGAAAGCAGGGAUAACCACAUAAGACGAGAAGACCCUGUGGAACUUCAAAAACAGCGACCACCCCAACAUACAUUCACACCCACCCCGGGCGCACUUAUCCGUAAAGCACUGGUUCGCAUUUUUUCGGUUGGGGCGACCUUGGAGCAAAACAAAACCUCCAAAGAUUGGACCAUCCCUCCAGACUAAGAGCAACCUCUCAACGUGCCAACAGCACCCAGACCCAAUACAAUUGAUCAAUGGACCAAGCUACCCCAGGGAUAACAGCGCAAUCUCCUCCAAGAGUCCAUAUCGACGGGGAGGUUUACGACCUCGAUGUUGGAUCAGGACAUCCUAGUGGUGCAGGAGCUGCUAA
RNAcentral lists this ribosomal RNA (485 nucleotides) under Eremophila bilopha (Temminck's lark). RNAcentral describes it as "partial 16S ribosomal RNA". It matches the Rfam family "Bacterial large subunit ribosomal RNA", at positions 1923 to 2568 of the family's 2925-position model. Lineage: Eukaryota; Metazoa; Chordata; Aves; Passeriformes; Alaudidae. The record is from RNAcentral.